Molecule: microRNA precursor, 58 nt
Filed under: Mus musculus (house mouse)
Lineage: Eukaryota; Metazoa; Chordata; Mammalia; Rodentia; Muridae
Description: microRNA mmu-mir-9b precursor (mmu-mir-9b-3)
Gene: mmu-mir-9b-3
Source: miRBase by way of RNAcentral
UUCGGUUAUCUAGCUUUAUGACGGCUCUGUGGCACUCAUACAGCUAGAUAACCAAAGA